Non-coding RNA from Monodelphis domestica (gray short-tailed opossum), 734 nucleotides. NCBI's taxonomy places the organism in Eukaryota, Metazoa, Chordata, Mammalia, Didelphimorphia, Didelphidae. The record is from RefSeq and is a predicted model, not a curated record.
CUUGUCCUAUGAGCAUCGGUUUGUGCCGCCGCUGUCAAAAUGGCAAAUGUUCCGUGUUGGAUAUGGAGAUCCAAUUCAACAAGCAUUUAUUAAAUACUAUGAGCCUGGCACUACGCUAGGUAGGCUUGAGGAUGCAAAAAAUAAAAUAAAAUAAUUAAAAUGGUUCCAGAUUUCAAGGAAUUUACAUACUACUGGGGAGAUAUGUCAUGGAAGGAGGAAAGAGCUAAGAGUGACAAAUGGCAGAGGUGAGAAGAGAAGGGGGAGCAUUCCAGGCCAUGGGACAGCCUGUAGAAAUCCAUGGGAAGAGAGAUGUGGAAUGUUGUACACAGGAAACAUUGAGCAGGCCAAUGUGGCUGGAAUUUAGAGUCCGUGAGAUGCUCAAAGAACAGCCUGAAGGGUUUUACGGAAAUCUCAACCCUCAAUACAUUAGCAGUGGUUGCAUGGUGGAUACAAGGUACAAGGGAGUUGUAGCAUAUUAUCAAUAUAAAUUUGUACUCAGGAAAGAAAUCCAUAUACCUCUACCUGUAACCAUAUAUAGUUCAUCCAAUCAAACUCUCAAAACGAAGGUCUUAGCCUUUUGUAACAUGCAGCAAUUUUAAUUCCUUCAGAGUGACUCAAGCUAUUUUAUCCACCUUUCAAUCAGCCUGCUUUUUUGCUAAUGAGUUGGAAACAUGUGUUUCUGGAAGAAUAGCCUCAGAUUUGACCCUAAAAAUUAAAGAUUUUUAUCUCAUGGA